CGUAGGGGCGAGCGUUAUCCGGAUUCAUUGGGCGUAAAGCGCGCGUAGGCGGCCAGUUUGGUCGGGAGUCAAAUCCGGGGGCUCAACCCCCGCCCGCUCCCGAUACCGGCUGGCUUGAGUCUGGUAGGGGAAGGCGGAAUUCCCAGUGUAGCGGUGGAAUGCGCAGAUAUUGGGAAGAACACCGGUGGCGAAGGCGGCCUUCUGGGCCACGACUGACGCUGAGGCGCGAAAGCUGGGGGAGCGAACAGGAUU
RNAcentral lists this ribosomal RNA (252 nucleotides) under uncultured bacterium. Its description in RNAcentral is "partial 16S ribosomal RNA". It matches the Rfam family "Bacterial small subunit ribosomal RNA", at positions 526 to 779 of the family's 1533-position model. The record is from RNAcentral.